RNAcentral lists this ribosomal RNA (717 nucleotides) under uncultured Antarctic soil bacterium. RNAcentral describes it as "bacterial SSU rRNA". It matches the Rfam family "Bacterial small subunit ribosomal RNA", at positions 133 to 869 of the family's 1533-position model. The record is from RNAcentral.
GCGGUAAGUGGCCGAGGAUGGACAAAACUCGUAUUAAUACCGCAUACGACCUACGGGAGAAAGGGGGCAGUUUACUGCUCUCGCUAUUAGAUGAGCCUAAGUCGGAUUAGCUAGAUGGUGGGGUAAAGGCCUACCAUGGCGACGAUCUGUAGCUGGUCUGAGAGGAUGAUCAGCCACACCGGGACUGAGACACGGCCCGGACUCCUACGGGAGGCAGCAGUGGGGAAUAUUGGACAAUGGGGGAAACCCUGAUCCAGCCAUGCCGCGUGUGUGAAGAAGGCCUUUUGGUUGUAAAGCACUUUAAGCAGUGAAGAAGACUCCGUGGUUAAUACCCACGGACGAUGACAUUAGCUGCAGAAUAAGCACCGGCUAACUCUGUGCCAGCAGCCGCGGUAAUACAGAGGGUGCAAGCGUUAAUCGGAAUUACUGGGCGUAAAGGGAGCGUAGGUGGCUCAAUAAGUCAGAUGUGAAAUCCCCGGGCUCAACCUGGGAACUGCAUCUUGUACUGUUGAGCUAGAGUAUGUGAGAGGAAGGUAGAAUUCCAGGUGUAGCGGUGAAAUGCGUAGAGAUCUGGAGGAAUCCGUGGCGAAGCAGCUUUUGCAUAUACUGACCUGAGGCUCAAAGCGUGGGUAGAACAAGAUAAGAACCCUGUAUCACCCGAAACAAGUUCUAUCGUGGGCCCUUGAGGCUAUGCCACUACCAUAGUAACUCUGGGAG